AUACAGUGAUGAUCACAUAGUUCAGCUUAUGGAACAGUGAUGAACUGUCUUUCGCUCCUAUCUGAUGUAUCU
RNAcentral lists this small nucleolar RNA (72 nucleotides) under Pogona vitticeps (central bearded dragon). Its description in RNAcentral is "Small nucleolar RNA SNORD77 (ENSPVIG00000000465.1)". It matches the Rfam family "Small nucleolar RNA SNORD77". From Rfam's summary of the family: U77 belongs to the C/D family of snoRNAs. It is predicted to guide 2'O-ribose methylation of large 28S rRNA subunit at position A1521. The record is from RNAcentral. Lineage: Eukaryota; Metazoa; Chordata; Lepidosauria; Squamata; Agamidae.